UCAGUCCGCGGACAGAUGUUUCUGAGAACAGGUGGCUGGGGUUGUCCCCUGGAUUUGCAUGGCUAUGACAGACACAGCAGACCUCACAGACUUCAAAGGGAGACACGCCACGACCUGACGGCGAGCCACGCCGCGACCUUUGCCGCCCCGAGCCGCCGCCGCCACGCACACACUCAGAGGCACCGCCGUGGACGGGCUUGGCAGCGGGGUUAAGGAGAUGUGUUGACUUUGAGUCUGCUGGGAUGUGACUUUGCUGCUGCUGUAUAUUCAUGAUCUCCUUCAAGGCAGACAGUCAUCUUAGCCCUUGAAGGGCGGUUUUAUGAAGGGAUUCUGUUCAUGCUGCUCCCUAAAAGUAUGAAUCCUGGGUUUAUUUCUUGUUCACAUGAAAUAAAGAAUAACUUUCCAAA
This is a long non-coding RNA of Stegastes partitus (bicolor damselfish), 407 nucleotides long. RefSeq lists it as uncharacterized. Lineage: Eukaryota; Metazoa; Chordata; Actinopteri; Pomacentridae. The transcript is spliced from 2 exons. The record is from RefSeq and is a predicted model, not a curated record.